This 424-nucleotide ribosomal RNA is filed under the name uncultured prokaryote. RNAcentral's name for it is "bacterial SSU rRNA". It matches the Rfam family "Bacterial small subunit ribosomal RNA", at positions 355 to 796 of the family's 1533-position model. The record is from RNAcentral.
CAGGGAAUCUUGCGCAAUGGGCGAAAGCCUGACGCAGCGACGCCGCGUGGGGGAUGAAGGCCUUCGGGUUGUAAACCCCUUUCAGGAGGGAAGAAAUUGACGGUACCUCCAAAAGAAGGACCGGCCAACUACGUGCCAGCAGCCGCGGUAAUACGUAGGGUCCUAGCGUUGUCCGGACUUACUGGGCGUAAAGCGCACGCAGGUGGUAAGGCAAGUGGGGUGUGAAAGCCGCCAGCUUAACUGGCGGAGGCCAUCCCAAACUGCUUCACUUGAGGCCUGUAGAGGUAUGUGGAAUUGCCGGUGUAGUGGUGAAAUGCGUAGAGAUCGGCAGGAACACCCAGGGGGAAACCAGCAUACUGGACAGGUCCUGACACUCAGGUGCGACAGCGUGGGGAGCGAACCGGAUUAGAUACCCGUGUAGUCC